UGCUCUUAUUAUUACUAUAAUUUUAUUUGUGUUAUAACUUUUGUUGAUUUAAUCUUUUCAGAAUGCUGCAGCCUCUCGUUGGUUUCUUCGUCGAAAAACAGACUACAACCCGAGGCAGACCACUUUACGUCAUUAGUCGAGAGCAGCUGGAGUAUCUAGUUGAAGCGGGCUUCAAACAACGAGCUAUUGCUAGUCUGCUUCAUGUGUCUGAUUCGGUUAUUAAGCGCUGCCUCAGGACAUGGUAUAAGCAUCAGGGGAAGGUACUUGAGCAUCUCCAAUGAGGAACUUGACAAUCUGGUCCGAGAGAUAACAAAUGGCAAUCAGACACUUGGGCAACGAAUGGUUCAGGGACAACUUCAGAGUCUAGGACAUCGGGUUCAAAGACAACGUGUUGCUGACAGUCUGAUCCGGGUCGACGAAGCAGCCGUAGCCAUGUGAUGGUGUCACUCGAUUCGACGAAGGGUGUACAAUGUUGCUGGUCCAAACUCAUUGCGGCACAUAGAUGGAAACCACAAAUUGAUGAGAUGGGGUUUUGUCAUACACGGAGGCAUCGAUGGCUUCUCGGGGAUGUGUGUUUUCCUCCAAGCUGCGACCAACAACAAGGCUACCACGAUGACAAAAGCCUUCAUGACAGGCACCCAGCGCUAUGGUUUCAGGAGCGAUCAUGGACUGGAGAAUACCUUGGUUGGGGUGUUUAUGAUAGCGCAUCGUGGACCUCGUCGGGGUUCUUUCAUCACAGGAAGGAGCGUUCACAAUCAGCGGAUUGAAUGUAUGUGGCGUGACCUGUUUGCCAGUGCAACAAGCCUGUUUCACAGCUUGUUUACGUAUCUUUAGGAGUCUGGACAGUUGGAUUUGGCAAAUCCAGUGCACAUAUGGUGCCUUCAUCAUGUGUUUGUGCCUCUUGUCCAGCGAGCAUAAGACAUAUUUCGUGAGGGCUGGAACUUGCACAGGUUGAGUGGGGAAAGAGGUAGAAACCCCACACAGCUCUAAUUGAGGGCAUGAUGCGCCAAGCUGGACAGGGUCAUAGGGGCGUCGAUGACAUGGUGUUCCGUGCUCCAGAGAGGCCAUCCAAGACCAUGACGAAAAUGGCAUUGACGAUAAGGUCGAGGUAGCUCCCCGAGAAGACAUGAUCAUCAAUGUGUCAAAAGUAGACUGUCCUCUGAACGGUCAACGAGCAGGACUUCACAAGACUAGAACAAACUGUGAACAUUGAAAGUGAUAUCCAGGGUGUGGAUUGUUUAUUGGCAUGUGUGGAGUUCUGCAAUUCUGUGUUGUUACCAACAUAUGAUAAACGUGAAACUGUGUACAUGCAUGUCAGAUAAAGAUGUUUAUAUACUCAUGUCGUGUUUCAGCUAUCGUGGCCUAAAGCAAAAUAACUUAAUAAGCUUGACAUUUUGUACAAAAUUAAAGUUCUUACAAGUGGAAAUUAUAUAGAUGUUUCUAU
This is a long non-coding RNA of Dreissena polymorpha, 1444 nucleotides long. RefSeq lists it as uncharacterized. The record is from RefSeq and is a predicted model, not a curated record. NCBI's taxonomy places the organism in Eukaryota, Metazoa, Mollusca, Bivalvia, Myida, Dreissenidae. The transcript has 3 exons.